Molecule: ribosomal RNA, 460 nt
Filed under: uncultured bacterium
Lineage: Bacteria
Description: partial 16S ribosomal RNA
Rfam family: Bacterial small subunit ribosomal RNA
Source: RNAcentral
CCUACGGGAGGCAGCAGUGAGGAAUAUUGGUCAAUGGACGAGAGUCUGAACCAGCCAAGUAGCGUGAAGGAUGACUGCCCUAUGGGUUGUAAACUUCUUUUAUAUGGGAAUAAAAUGUUCCACGUGUGGGCUUUUGUAUGUACCAUAUGAAUAAGGAUCGGCUAAAUCCGUGCCAGCAGCCGCGGUAAUACGGGGGAUCCGAGCGUUAUCCGGAUUUAUUGGGGUUAAAGGGUGCGUAGGUGGGUUGUUAAGUCAGUUGUGAAAGUUUGCGGCUCAACCGUAAAAUUGCAGUUGAAACUGGCAGUCUUGAGUGCAGUAGAGGUGGGCGGAAUUCGUGGUGUAGCGGUGAAAUGCUUAGAUAUCACGAAGAACUCCGAUUGCGAAGGCAGCUCACUGGACUGCAACUGACGCUGAGGCUCGAAAGUGUGGGUAUCAAACAGGAUUAGAUACCCGAGUAGUC